GAUGAACGCUAGCUACAGGCUUAACACAUGCAAGUCGAGGGGAAACGGCAUUGAGUGCUUGCACUCUUUGGACGUCGACCGGCGCACGGGUGAGUAACGCGUAUCCAACCUUCCCAUUACUGUGGGAUAACCUGCCGAAAGGCAGACUAAUACCGCAUAGUCUUCGAUGACGGCAUCAGAUUUGAAGUAAAGAUUUAUCGGUAAUGGAUGGGGAUGCGUCUGAUUAGCUUGUUGGCGGGGUAACGGCCCACCAAGGCGACGAUCAGUAGGGGUUCUGAGAGGAAGGUCCCCCACAUUGGAACUGAGACACGGUCCAAACUCCUACGGGAGGCAGCAGUGAGGAAUAUUGGUCAAUGGACGGAAGUCUGAACCAGCCAAGUAGCGUGCAGGAUGACGGCCCUAUGGGUUGUAAACUGCUUUUGUAUGGGGAUAAAGUUAGGGACGUGUCCCUAUUUGCAGGUACCAU
RNAcentral lists this ribosomal RNA (466 nucleotides) under Prevotella melaninogenica. Its description in RNAcentral is "bacterial SSU rRNA". It matches the Rfam family "Bacterial small subunit ribosomal RNA", at positions 28 to 481 of the family's 1533-position model. The record is from RNAcentral. Lineage: Bacteria; Pseudomonadati; Bacteroidota; Bacteroidia; Bacteroidales; Prevotellaceae.